This is a long non-coding RNA of Zingiber officinale, 1001 nucleotides long. RefSeq lists it as uncharacterized. The transcript is spliced from 6 exons. The record is from RefSeq and is a predicted model, not a curated record. Lineage: Eukaryota; Viridiplantae; Streptophyta; Magnoliopsida; Zingiberales; Zingiberaceae.
GAUGGGGAGAAAGGUUAAAAGGAAAAAACCCAUGGCUCUCUCUCUCGGUUCCGCCUCCUCCCUCUCCCUCGCAAACCCACUCCAUCGUUAGCAGUCAAAGCAGGCAAGCUAUCCCUCAACGCCAAGGCUGUCGAGUUUUCUUUCCCAUUAGCUUACAUGGCAAGGCACUUUUGAAAACUUGAUGAUGAUUGCACCCACAGAAGAAACACUUACAUCGGUUUCAAAAUCCGGCCAAGGUUCUAGCAUACUAUGGCUUGACAAACCCUCCAUAUAAGCUGCAAUAACAUUUUUUGGAUCUGGUUGGGUGUGGCUUGCUUAUAGCUAUUUCCUUGAAAUUAAUAAUGGCUGAAAGGCUUUUCUCUUGAGUUAAGAUCAACACUAGCAAGUGGUGCACAAGUCAUCUUUACAUGACUUGCUUUGCUGGAUGCAUAGUUCACUAGUUGCCACUGCUGCUAGUGCAAAACUGUCAUGAAGUACAUUCCUGACUUCUGCCAAUUGAUUUCAUGAAGUCAACACCGCAAAAGCUGUCACUCAAUUCUGAUCAUUCCACAUUAGAUCGAAGUUGCAGUCGUCGUUGAAUCCAUUCUCCCUGCAGUGGAGGAGUUUGUUCAUUCUUUGACAUGCACAAAUGAGUCUUCAACCCAAUGAUAUCAGCCUCAUAGAAAGCUGGCUUGUCAUGCUCAGAGGCAAAGGAGAGGAAGAUGGCAAAAGACAAGUCAAUUAGCUUAUGAUGGCAGCUCACAGAUGAGAUAAAAAAAAUGUGGAACUUCCUCCAAUGGUGUGGAAUAUUCCUGGCAUAUACUCUGCUGAAGUAUGCUGUGUAUCUUUUUUAAAGAGAAAAAGAAGAAGAAGAAGAGAUUUCCUUUGAAAUUUCGUGUUGUCUUUCUUAUCAUUCAUAAAGGAGAUUAAUAGUUAAUCAUCAAUUAGAUGGAUGAAGAUUUCAUGUUGAAUAUUUUGUAUUCUUUUUUAUUUCAAAAAAAAAGUCAUUUUGAGGCUUUUUA